This 122-nucleotide ribosomal RNA is filed under the name Labrus bergylta (ballan wrasse). The record is from RNAcentral. Lineage: Eukaryota; Metazoa; Chordata; Actinopteri; Labriformes; Labridae.
GCUUACGCCAUACCACCCUGAACACGCCCGAAUCUCGUCAGAUCUCGGAAGCUAAGCAGGGUCGCGGCCUGGUUCAGUACUUGGAUGGGAGACCGCCUGGGAAAUACCAGGUGCUGUAAGCA